This 1310-nucleotide ribosomal RNA is filed under the name Theopompa sp. FY-2016a. Its description in RNAcentral is "16S ribosomal RNA". The stretch from base 875 to 1229 matches the Rfam family "Bacterial large subunit ribosomal RNA", at positions 2078 to 2643 of the family's 2925-position model. The record is from RNAcentral. Lineage: Eukaryota; Metazoa; Arthropoda; Insecta; Mantodea; Gonypetidae.
AGGUUGAUGUAAUUGUUUUAUAAAAGUUUAUUAUUAAUUAUUAAAUGAAAGAGGUUGAAAUUGUCGUUGUAGAUUGGAGGGAUUUGAUUAUGUUUACUAUAGUUUAUUAAUAUUGAAAGAGAAAUUUGAGAUAAGCAUUAUAAUUGGGGAAAAUAAAUUUUAUUUGUUGUAUCUUGUGUAUCAGAGUGGAUUAAAAUUAAAAAUGAAUAUUUAAUUUCUCGAAUUUGAAAGAUUUAAUUGAAUAUGGUAGUUAUUGUUUUAAAAAUAUUAUGAAUAUUUAGUUGGUAAUGAAAUGUUAUUCGUUUUUUAGGAUAUCUAGUUUCUUAAUAAAUAAAUUUAAUUUAAGGGUUAUUUGUUAAUAUUUUUAUUAAUAAUUAAUUAUAAGAUAAUCUUACUUUUUAAGGGGAAAAACUCUUAAAAAUAGAGCUAUAAAUAGGAAGAAAGUGAAAGUCUUAUAAAUUUAGAAUUAGUUCUUGAUUAAAAUAUGUUAAAAUUUAUCUUUUGUGUUGAGGGAUUUAAGAGGUUUUAGGGUUUUUAUUAAGAUGUAAUAAAUAAUAAUAUUAUUUUAGUAAAUAUGAUUUAAUUAGUAAAAUUAAGGUAUUAAGUUAAUAGAAUGAAAUGUUAGUUUAAGGAAUUCGGCAAAUUAUUUACUCGCCUGUUUAUUAAAAACAUGGUUUCUUGGUAAGUUUAGGAGAUCUGGCCUGCCCACUGAAAUUUAAUUGAAGGGCCGCAGUAUUUUGACUGUGCAAAGGUAGCAUAAUCAUUAGUCUCUUAAUUAGGGGCUUGUAUGAAUGGUUGGACGAGGCAAAUUCUGUCUUGGAUUAAUUAUAGGUUGAAUUUAAAUUUUAAGUAAAAAUGCUUAAGUGAAAUUGAGGGACGAGAAGACCCUAUAGAGUUUAAUAUAGAAUAUUUUAAUUAGGUUUAUAGAAAAUUAUUUAAUUGUUAAAUUGUAUAUUUAAUUGGGGUGAUUAGGAGAUAAAGAAAACUCUCUUUUAUUUUAAAUAAAAUUAAAAGUUUUAUGAUCCAUAUUUAAUGAUUAAAAGAUUAAAUUACCUUAGGGAUAACAGCAUAAUUUUUUUUGAGAGUUCAUAUUGAAAAAAAAGAUUAUGACCUCGAUGUUGGAUUAAGAUGGGUGUUGGGUGUAGAUAUUCAAAAACCAGGUCUGUUCGACCUUUAAAAUCUUACAUGAUCUGAGUUUAAACCGGCGUAAGCCAGGUUGGUUUCUAUCUUUAGUGAAAUAAGAUAUUUUAGUACGAGAGGACCAGAUAUCUAAAAUAGUUUUAUUUAGGUGAAUUUUAUUAAAGUUAUUU